CCGCCCGGGCCGCCCGUGCCCGCGGGGCUGCGCCAUGGGGGCGGCCCGGGAGACAACCGGAGCGUCCUGGAGCCUGCCCAGGGUGGGCAGGCUGUGGGGAGGGGGUGCCUCCCCCACGGGCUGCCUCGCCGAGGGCUUCCACUCUGCUGCUGCUGCCGUAUGAGGGGAUCCCAAUCCUGUCUGCCCACUCCCCUCCCCACCCGUGUUUCCUCUACCCGUCAAGGAUAGCCCCCCCUGCGGUGAGGAUGGGGCUACUGUGAUCUGAGACAGCCCCCAUCUUGCCCCUCUGAGCACUCCCUGCCACUUCCCAGAUCCCUAAUGGGGUACAGGAUGCUCCCAGCACUGUUCCUAGGGGUCUGGAUAUGGGCAUCUUCACAUUGGGUCUGCCCUGGCAUCAUCUCUCUCUGGGGCAGAGGGGCCUGAGCCAAGCCCAGGGUGGGUUUCUGCCACGUCCCACGGACAUCUGCUCUGAGUCCAGCCCUGGUCACCCCAAGAGACUCAGCCAGGGCCUGACCAAGCCCACCAGCUUCAUUUGAGGCCCUGCAUCCUCCUAGCUAUGCCCCAUCACCGUCAUCCCUUCCUUCGUCCUUUCCUGAGGGCAGCCCACCUCUCCAGUUUUGCAUUAAUACUGCUUCCCCUCAUUUUUAUCCCCUGCAAUCACUGGGCUUAUCCCAUUCCCCCCCCCAGCCCAUUCCCUCCUCCAGGGCAGGCCCCACAGUUAUAGCCUGGGCAGUGCCCAGCGCCAUGGGGAAGUCAGGAAAGGCUGUGGCAGCUGGAGGUGAUAUUUAAGAGGCACGUGUGAGCCUGCAGUCCCUUCCUCUUGGACACCUUUCAUUUUGUCACUCCUUCACGACGGUUGACACAGGGCUGAUCCAGGUUCCAGCCAAGGGCAGGAAUGUGCCUAAUGAACUUGUUCUCGCUGUUUCUCCAGCAGGAUUGGCUCAGGUAUGGACCUUGUGCAGCAUCACUCUUUGGACUUUGAGCGCUGCUCUCCUCCACCGCCUUCCCCGGACGGCCGGCACCCCUGGAGGUGUUUGCAGAGCCGAGCCCCAGCGAUCGCUCGUCUGCCAGAGGACAGGGCCGCGCUUUGCUAAUCCACUGCGGCGUGCACAUCUGUGGGGAGGCUCAGAAAAAAGAAAGCAAAGGUGACUGCAGCUGAAUCCAAAAUGGGCAGCAGAUCCAAACCACGAGUAAUUUCCUACAGGAACAUUUCUCAGGCAAGAAUGGAGAGCUGCAAGGAGCUCAGAGCCAUCUGGUCCAAGAAACAUGGCAAUUCCUUACAAACAGUUCCAGAGUAUCCCUGGGAAGUUUUUGGCUAUAGUUCCUUACUAUUCUCUUCCUUCAGAAAUGUCCUGGGACAAACUGGUGCCAUUGGCUCCUUCCAAACUCCACUGGUGAGCUGGUGGGUGCCAGUCCCUCCGUGGGCAGGACCUCCUGGAGCACCAUGGAGCACACCAGGGCCAGCUGCCCAUAUUGGAGAUGCCCUGGAAGGGGGCUCAGUCUCCCUUGGGGAUGUUGAAGCCUUUCCAUGAACACAGAGAGAGCCUGGGUACAUUGCUCCAAGAUGGCCAAGCUCUUCUCUUAGGGGCAGUUCUCUGGGAAAGGUCUCAGCCAGGGGAUGAAGGCCCCCCAGGCUGUUUGUUAGGUGAUUACAGUAAAUGACAGGCAGCAAGGCUGGAGCUUUUGUGUUAGUUUAAACAAGGGCAUCAGAGGAAGCAUCUUUGCUCAAUCUGGGAGAUCCUUUUUUUGUACCAUACGCAAGCCAUGGAUUAAUCAGCAAUAGCACGUAGCCCAGCUUGCUCAAUUUACUAAUAUUUAUCUGACUAAGACUCUUUUUUCCUGAGAAGCUCGAAAUGUCUCAUCCCACUGAGUCAGUGAUUUACCAUUACAUGUUGUAAACUGCUGCAGACAGUCAUGGAGCAGUUGUGAGGAGCUGGGAAGAAAAGAUGUCAUUUCCCCUCAGCCGGUCCUUGGCUGUGCUCUGCAGCAGACAGCCAAAUAAGGGUGGGAAUGUGCCAAAUCAAACCUGCUUAGGACAACUCCAGGCACUUACUUCAAUUCCAUACUGGGAUUAAAAACUGGGGGGAGAGGGGCUGUUUUGCUGUUUCUUUCCACAGCAGCCUGGGCAUGACUGUGUGUGUAGUGUGUUCCCCACUUUGGAUGUGGUAUAGGUGUUUAGUUUGGUUAUUAAAACAAAAAUGGAAAAAGAA
Long non-coding RNA from Haemorhous mexicanus (house finch), 2210 nucleotides. RefSeq lists it as uncharacterized. The record is from RefSeq and is a predicted model, not a curated record. NCBI's taxonomy places the organism in Eukaryota, Metazoa, Chordata, Aves, Passeriformes, Fringillidae. The transcript is spliced from 4 exons.